AGAGUUUGAUCAUGGCUCAGAUUGAACGCUGGCGGAAUGCUUUACACAUGCAAGUCGAACGGCAGCAUAGAGAGCUUGCUCUCUGAUGGCGAGUGGCGAACGGGUGAGUAAUAUAUCGGAACGUGCCUAGUAAUGGGGAAUAACUAGCUGAAAGGUUAGCUAAUGCCGCAUACGACCUACGGGUGAAAGCAGGGGAUCUUCGGACCUUGCGUUAUUAGAGCGGCCGAUAUCUGAUUAGCUUGUUGGUGGGGUAAUGGCCUACCAAGGCGACGAUCAGUAGCUGGUCUGAGAGGACGAUCAGCCACACUGGAACUGAGACACGGCCCAGACUCCUACGGGAGGCAGCAGUGGGGAAUU
RNAcentral lists this ribosomal RNA (357 nucleotides) under uncultured beta proteobacterium. RNAcentral describes it as "bacterial SSU rRNA". It matches the Rfam family "Bacterial small subunit ribosomal RNA", at positions 8 to 363 of the family's 1533-position model. Lineage: Bacteria; Pseudomonadati; Pseudomonadota; Betaproteobacteria. The record is from RNAcentral.